This 77-nucleotide transfer RNA is filed under the name Bacteroidaceae bacterium. RNAcentral's name for it is "tRNA-Ile". It matches the Rfam family "tRNA". From Rfam's summary of the family: Transfer RNA (tRNA) molecules are approximately 80 nucleotides in length. The record is from RNAcentral. Lineage: Bacteria; Pseudomonadati; Bacteroidota; Bacteroidia; Bacteroidales; Bacteroidaceae.
GCGGCGAUAGCGCAGGUGGUCAGAGCAGGUGCCUCAUAAGCAUUUGGUCACUGGUUCGAGUCCAGUUCGCCGCACCA